ACCAGACUCCUACGGGAGGCAGCAGUGAGGAAUAUUGGUCAAUGGGCGCGAGCCUGAACCAGCCAAGUCGCGUGAGGGAAGACGGCCCUACGGGUUGUAAACCUCUUUUGUCGGGGAGCAAAGCGAACCACGUGUGGUUCAUUGAGAGUACCCGAAGAAAAAGCAUCGGCUAACUACGUGCCAGCAGCCGCGGUAAUACGUAGGGGGCGAGCGUUAUCCGGAAUUACUGGGUGUAAAGGGAGCGUAGACGGCGAGGUAAGCCUGAAGUGGAAGCCCGCGGCCCGACCGCGGAACUGCUUUGGGAACUGUUUUGCUGGAGUAUGGGAGGGGUAAGCGGAAUUCCUGGUGUAGCGGUGAAAUGCGUAGAUAUCAGGAGGAACACCGGUGGCGAAGGCGGCUUACUGGACCAUAACUGACGUUGAGGCUCGAAAGCGUGGGGAGCGAACAGGAUUAGAUACCCCAGUA
This 465-nucleotide ribosomal RNA is filed under the name uncultured bacterium. Its description in RNAcentral is "bacterial SSU rRNA". It matches the Rfam family "Bacterial small subunit ribosomal RNA", at positions 330 to 792 of the family's 1533-position model. The record is from RNAcentral.